Molecule: non-coding RNA, 135 nt
Organism: Triticum urartu
Lineage: Eukaryota; Viridiplantae; Streptophyta; Magnoliopsida; Poales; Poaceae
Source: Rfam
CAAUUACUCCCUCCGUUUGGUAAUACUUGUCAUUAAAAUGAAUAAAAAAGGAUGUAUCUAUAUGUAUAUUAGUUUUAGAUACAUCCAUUUUUAUCCAUUUUGAUGACAAGUAUUUUCGGACAGAGGGAGUAAUAG